UACGGAAGGCAGCAGUGGGGAAUAUUGCACAAUGGGCGCAAGCCUGAUGCAGCCAUGCCGCGUGUAUGAAGAAGGCCUUCGGGUUGUAAAGUACUUUCAGUCGUGAGGAAGGUGUUAAGGUUAAUAACCUUAGCAAUUGACGUUAGCGACAGAAGAAGCACCGGCUAACUCCGUGCCAGCAGCCGCGGUAAUACGGAGGGUGCGAGCGUUAAUCGGAAUUACUGGGCGUAAAGGGCACGUAGGCGGUUAAUUAAGUUGGAUGUGAAAUCCCCGGGCUUAACCUGGGAAUGGCAUUCAAGACUGGUUAGCUAGAGUCUUGUAGAGGGGGUAGAAUUCCAUGUGUAGCGGUGAAAUGCGUAGAGAUGUGGAGGAAUACCGGUGGCGAAGGCGGCCCCUGGACAAAGACUGACGCUCAUGUGCGAAAGCGUGGGGAGCAAACAGGGAUUAGAUACC
RNAcentral lists this ribosomal RNA (453 nucleotides) under uncultured bacterium. Its description in RNAcentral is "bacterial SSU rRNA". It matches the Rfam family "Bacterial small subunit ribosomal RNA", at positions 340 to 786 of the family's 1533-position model. The record is from RNAcentral.